UUAAAAACAUCACACAGCACUUGCUGGGAGCUCAGACGAAUACACCUGGUUAGAAAAAGCUGCCCUAAAGGUCUGUCCUAAACGCAGUAUCAGCUGCGUAUGCAAAGUUCAGACCCUCCUGGGUCCGUGCAAGGCAGCUAACAGCAGGUGCUAACACUCCAGAUCUGCAGGCAAGAAAAGACAGUAAACUAAAAAAUCUGCUUAUGUACAAGUCUUUCACCCCCACUUCUCAUAAAUACCAACUGAGACUUUCAAAUACCUGCCCAGUUACAACAGGAUUUUCUUAAUAGCAUACAUUACUUGCAUUUAGCCACCAGCCCACCCCCUUCAGACAGAGCUCCUCCGAGGAAGUGCCUGUGGGACCCAAGACAUUCCUUAGCACCUCUCAGAACCCACCCAGUGCUAUAGAUAACAUCUGACAAGAAACUUUCAAGGAAGCACCAUGUUUGCUGGUGGUGUUCUUCCCACUGGCUACCUAAAGAGUUACUAAUGCUUCAUACUGAAAGAUACAUUCACUUUCUGCUACAGGAGGAUCCAGUUUAGUAAAUAUUGAAGGAGAGUAGAAGAGAAGACAGGAUAGCGUAACAAAGAUGAAACUGCUGAAAAGCAAGAGAAAAUAAAUCCCUGUGUUGUUUGAAUAUGCUCACUGGACAAUGUCAAAGCCCUGGCAGGGGUGGAAGUGGUUUGUACUAAGAGCCCUCACAAGUCCUCUAUUGCAGAACAAGGAUGAUCUCAUGCCGAGGUCUGCACAGGGAUCCACUGCCGACAGAUGAGCCAUUUUAAAUUCACCCUACCAGGAAACCACAUUCCCCUGCUGAACACAGGCUCGGGCUGUCUAGGGGCUUCAGGACGCCGAGGACCAACAAGCACUUGCCAGUUCCCCUCCUACCAGCACAACCCCGAAUCCGCAGCGGUGCCGGCAGCCAUCCCUCCCGGGAUCUGGAGGGACGCGCGGUUACGCCAGCAAACCGUGUUUGCCGGAAAAUAAAUGUGAGGUGCGCUCAGCCAGCAACAAUGCGAGGCCGCGUCAGAGCCAAAUGUCUGCCGGGCGAGCGGAGCCGAGCAGGCUGCCGAGCAGGGAGGGAAACUGAUGAUUCGACAGUCGGAAGAAGCGCCUUGCCUCCCCGCGCUGACUCCACGCGUUCGGCGCCCGGCGCGCACCAGCUGCUGGGCACAGUCUCCCUGACGGAGGGAGCAGGCGGCAGAGCUGCGGGUGUAACCCGAGAGUCCACAGCCAGCCACCCCACCCACAGGCACAGCUCCCACGGCUAUAAAAAGGAGAUUCACUCACUUCCAGCCUUGUCAGACUCCCCAGGGGAAGGGUCGGUGCUGGGAAGCGUUUAGGAGCCGAGUGGGCCAGCAGCACCCGGAGAUGCCCUGACAAGGCCACAGGUGCUCCACUCCACCUGGGUGUACAACAGAUCUGCCCUAAGGGAUCAGCUGCCAGCUCUUCUUGGCAUUUAAGGGGUCUGCAGUGUUUUGAACUGCUCCGUUUGGGGAGAAGACCUUCAAUCUUCUGGAGUAAUCCACAGUGCUAAAUCAUUGUCAGGGCUUCAACAUGGUCAGUGUCCCACUCCCCCUACCCUCCAUGAACCCCCUCCUAGAAGCCUGACCAUGGGCUUCCCCUCCCUUCUCUUAAUUUUCAGAUGCUUGAGGCUGCCCUUGUUUUGAACUGUCUUGGCAAUUUGAGAAAUCUGCCUCUGCAACUUCAGGUGUGGUAAGAAAUACAAUAGAAGCAGCCCAAAACGGAAGAAAAAUCAGGUUGGACUGCUUUUUCAAACAAUUCAGUUUAUAUCUGAAGUGAAACUUCUGGCAAGUUUAAUACUUACACUGGCCCCUCUAAGAACCACAGCAUAAACUAUACUCUGAUAAUUUGUCAUUUGUUCCUACAACUUCAGACAACCGGUGCUGCUCCUGUGGAAAGUUAGUAUUUCGAGGUGGUCCUUUGUUCCAGGCUUUUUUCCCCGCUGUAGUCAGGUCUGCUAACCACAGAGGAAUUUUUGUGUGAACAAAUGCAGUGUCCUUUUUUUUUUUUUUUUUUUUUCCACCAUCACUAGCUCUGAGGCAGAGAGAUCAGAUUUGGGAAAGGUGCUCUCAUCACAACUGCUCUUCUCCAUCCGCACUGCCCUCUUCAACACCUGAUUAAUAUUUAAGUCUAUUAACAGUUGCUUACGUUAGCCAGCUUGGAUCACCACAUCCUCAACAUUCUUCUUUCCCGAUCCCUUUUUUCCCAGCAUUUAUGUUCAUGAACACUCACAAUCCGUGUACUUUGAAAUGUCCCACACUGAGGAAUGACACCGCAGCACCAUGACCGAAGACUACAGAGGCCUUGGGCCCAAGUAGAUGGCUGCAAGUGGUUUGGGUUCAUUUUUUCUGAGAACCCAGCACAACAGCAAGUGCAUGUGGAUCCCAAUACCCCUAGGCUUUUGGCCAAAGCAGUUCUGUUUUGUGCAAGGGAGUCUGCGUUUCCAGCCUGGACAAACAGGUUCUGGAAGACUUCAGGAGAAGCUCAGGUGUGCCUGAGGACACUGCGGCAAGGGGGAAGGAAUGGAACUGAGCUCAGGAAAACUCCCAUCUUAAUACUGUAGAGAAGAGCUUCAUGGAUUCCCUCUGAAUGCUUUAAUUCCUGUUUCACAGGACAGCCAGCCAGGAGACCAAAAAUGGCCAUUUUUGGUUUUUGUUUGCCUUCUAUCAAAUAUAGUUCUUGCUCUUUAUAUUAACAUGUUAUCUGAAAAAGCCCAGAGCUCACAUUUAACACAAAACUCCACAAAGAGGUAUGACCAAUAAAUGAAUGACAAACCUUAGUCCAUUAUCCUUUCCAGUUUAAGUACAAAAAAAAAAAUGGGAACCCAACUCAGAUUUCUCUGUUAAAAAAAAAUUAAGUCAAUUUCUUCUGCCCUCACCGAAGGAAACAAGAAGUUCUUUGACAAUAAAAUUGAGAGUAAUUAUAGGCAAAAUAAUGUCAAUGAAUUUUCCCGUAAGUAGUAGGACUGACAACACUGCAGGAAUCUCAGCUGUGAUCACAUGCUUAUUUUAUGUUUAAGGGGCAGAAUUCCCAAAAAGGAAGGAGCACAAAAAUGCAAAGAACUCCCUCAAAGAGCUCAGAAAUUUUGACAGCUGUGCUGGCCUAAACUCCAGGUAGUUUACCACCUGAAACACCCCCAGAAACUCAGACCUGAUCCACCAUUUCAGGAGCUGCUGAUCGAGCAUAAAGGAGUGACCAUCACCAGUCAAAUGAGAGAAAAAAAGCGUUGCUGUGUUUUGGACAAGCCAUGAGUGGGACAGCCGAGCAGCUCUGGGAGAUCUGCUCAGGAGGAAUGCCAGCACGUCCACCUCUCCGGACGAGGGCAUGCGUUUCUGUUGUGAGGCCAUCACCAUGAUAAAUAAAGGUGCAGCCAGCAUGAGUUGUGCAACUGGAAAAAACACUUCAUACCCCCACAUCCUACUCUUGGCUUCCCAUGGGAAGGGCACAGUCAGGAGUGACACUAAAAUCCUCAAACUUGCCCAGAUUUUUCAAACGUGCUCAGAUUUUAAGUGAGUUCUGACACGGUGUGCCACCAGCAUGAAAAAAAUGACAGCAAGAAAAAACCACAACCUUGCAACAAAACUGCUGGUACAGCUGUGCUAUCUAUCUGGAGUGGAUAAUGGCAUAACUCCUCAUGUGCCCCAGCGACUGCUCAAGUGUUAGUCCAGACAGAAACACAGCAACCUGCAAAUUCAGUCACUGCUGAUGCUAGCAAAUUGCCACUGGAGUCAUCCAGAUGGCUGUACCAAUAGAAUUAACUUUGUCAAAAUACUCUGUACACACACUAGAUUAAUAGUUGUAUCAAACUUGGAAUCUCCCUUUUGAGAAUACUUACGUUUUUCAUUCCUCUUAUACUAAAAUGAUCUACAGAAAAAGUUAAAAAGCAGGUUUCACUGCCAUCACACUCUUGCAUUUUUCUUGACUUGUACUGAUAUUAUUUGUAGUACAGUAAAUUCAGUUCUUUAAAGCUUGUAUGUAUUAUACACACACGUAGCACCUCUGUAGCCCUUGCAGAGCAGCAGUGCAAAUAUUUAAAUUGUACUUGUUGUGUAUUAUCUAGCAAAGGAACACAAAGUUUACGAACACUACCAAGAGAUGAAAUAUUUCUUGCUGUAUGCAAAGAGGAGGUCUACUGACUGGAGUAUGGUUCUGAUCUUUUAAGCUGCUACUGUAAACAGUAUCAUGCAAAUAAAAGUAUUCUGGUUGCUCAAAUGACUGAGAAAAUGCCAGUAUCUGACAGAAUCUGACUUGAGAGCACACUUCCUGUGAUUUUAAGCCCCAAUCCUACAUAUUUAGGAAGACGGGAGUAGUAUGCUUCUGUUCUUUCACAACAGAAUACAACAAUAUAACUGAGUUGCUGAAAUAUGACAAUUUUUCUUUGCACGUAUGCUCAAAUCUAUUUUUUAUCAGAAAUUCCCAUGAAUAACCAAAAAAGCCAGUAAUAGCUAAUAUUCUAACCUAAGAAUGAUGUACCAAUUCUAUUUAUUAAAAAAAAAAAAAAAACAACAACUUUUUAUGUCACAGAAAGGCAAAACUUUUAACCAUUAGAACUGGAUUCCAUAUCCACUUGUAUUUUACUUUCGGCCAGACCAUUUUUUUUCACCCUCCUCCGUUUCACUGACUAGAUAAACCAGAACUACUAUACUAGCUUUGCUACCCACAGAAAUCGGUAUAUCCGAGUAUUUCUAAAAAGUCUCUCAGUGUUUUGUGUUUAAGCAUAUUAAUAUUACAAUGUUAGCAUAAAAUACAUUUCAUGAAUACUUCCCCGAGAACUAUACAGGUGAGAAGGUGGAGAGUGAUUUGCUCUCAGCGCUGACCCCUAACUUCCUACUGCCGUGCUUCAGCCACUGAAGCUUUUUACAUUCUCACUCUUCUACUCACAGUUUGUGUUUAAACAUACACACUGAGCACAUAGGCAUUUGAGCAAGAUAUCAUUAGCUAAUGACUGAAGGAAACCAUGAAUAAGCUUAGUCGCAUGAGCUGUCUCAGUAGAACUUCGUGUCGGUCACAUCAUGUAACCCAUUUAUACGCCAAGCUGCUUUUGAUGUUUUACUUGUUGAAUGCCGAGCUUCAUUUCCUAACCUACACAUGUGUAGGCAAAUAGGCUUUUGUUCCCUCUUGUAAUUAUCAUGUUGUAUUAUACAAGUAUUACAUUAACAUAUGCUCUAACUGAUGGAGUGCAAUGAUGUCACUGGAAAUAAACAAACACUAUUAAAAAUUGAAGGAGAAAUCUAAUCCUAAGCUUUCCAGAACAGAGCACCUUUACUGGAGCAAACAUGUUGGCUAUCUCGUGGACUAAUCUUGUUUCAGGAACUGAAACCUUUCUUUUUUAUCACUAAGAUGAUUCUUUCUUACGCUAAAAUGCCUUGGCACAGACAUGACAACACUCGCCCUUUAUGCUCACGAGUGGAAGCUGGCCCAUGCACAGAAAGCAUCUGAUGGGCCAAACUGAACAUGUUCAGAGAAAGAAGCAAUGACUGAUACGAAGAGCAGAGCGCUCUGAGGAGCAAGCUGGUAUCACCAGCCAUCCUGUCAGCUUGAAUGGACGGGGUUACAGAAAAGCCCUUUAGAUCACUAACAGAAAUAUCCUUGUCAAGGGUGAUGAGAAUGACACACUUCACCGAGUUAUUUCUGUUCACUGCCUGCUUACCUAAGAGCAGGUGGUCAACCUGUUGCUUUUUCUGCUACUAGCUGUGAGCCAGAAAUUUGGAACACCAAAGAAAGUACAAGCCUUAAGAAUUAACAAAACAAUGUCCCAUUAAAAAAAAAAAAAGGAGAAUAAGUAGCUAACAAUUGAGAAUUCAGCUGUGAAUUUCACAGGUUGUAGUCAGGGUCUGCAUUUUCAUCUAAAUUUCAUUUUGCACAUAGCGGUUUUCUGACUUCACUUCCCUACACAGAAAUUCUCCAACACUAUAAAAGCACUUGCUACGCUGCAUCCUAUUUAUCAGUUAUAAGGCUUUGUCAGCUGUAAAAAUGUACUUUCAGGCUACCUGAACUACUGAGUGACAAGUUGCUUCACUACCCCACGUCUCAUUUUCCUGUCUGUAAAACCAAUAAGGAAAAAUAAUCAAACCAACAGCUUCUGCAACAUAUUUGAAGAUACAGCAUUUUUCAUCCAUAAUUAAGUAAUGUAAUUUGCAUGAACAGGCCAUUUCUUCUAUUCUUGGCAUGCAGAGAGGGCAUAGCUGCCACAGAAGAAAGUGGAGACAGAUCUUACCUAGAGAGUGAUACUUCCUAUAUAACCCAAAGCAUAUUGGAUCGUUACCUGCCCUAUCAUGGUUCAAGUGGGAACAAUUCUAUUUUUGCCAUGUGAUUAUGGAAAGCUCCUGCCCAUGUAUAUAAGUGUUACAAAUAUGACUCCAGGUAAGAACGCUGCCGCCUGGCCCAAGUAUUCUUCCUUUCUCCUUUAGGUAAGAGGCACGCUGUGUCAGAAAUUACACAGAACCAUGCAAGACCUUCCUUGCUUUUCCUCUUGCACAAUUGCCCAGACACUGACACGUUAUUUCUAGUGUCAUUUCUUCAUGUUCCUUUCUCUUAUUUCCAGUUUGAUCCACCCCUUGUUUUCAGAUUAAUUGGUAGCUCCAUCAAUUAGCCCCCUGUGUUCUAUCAAGGGGGGCUUUAAAAAACUACACAAAGCAGCUUCAAGGAAUCUGGGCAAAGCUGGUCCACAACUCUCCAAAAAUCCCCUGCUGGUAAUUUUACCACUCCUACAUACUAUGCCUUUUAUAUUCAGUACCUUUUUAAUCCAAUAAUUUAUUAAUCUGACAGUGACAGAAUGCACAUCAGCAUAAGUUAGGUAAAAACCACUGCAGGUAGAAGAGACCCAAACUGUUACCUAGUUUUACAUUCCCUACCACUGAUGUGAACCACUGCAAAAGACACAGAGAGGCUGUAUUGAACUUUCGAUGCAAUUUCUAAUUUGGUCUAGCAAGAAUUUUUCAGUCAACUCAAACGUGAGAAGUCAGUGCUCAAAAAUAAGUUCACUGCUAAAGAGAUGGGAAUCAAGUGACUUAAGACUUAUUUGGGGAAGCAGAGAGAAAAGAGCUGCAACAGUCAUGAAGGGCGAGGAUGAAAAAACUUAGGUGGUUGUUCCCCAAAUACCAACGACGCCAUCAGUAAGAGGGUGAGAUGGCUUCUUCUUCCUUUGUUUAGGCCUGUGCAGUCAUUGCUGCAACCAAUAAAGAUAUAAUUUUUAUGAUGGCUCCCAGACUUUGUGGCUGGCUGGUACAGCUUUUAUCUCAAACCCAAGGCAUUAGUGAGCUAUUGAUCAUUGUAAUAUUAGUUCAGUGAGGCUCAGCACAGUCAAUUCCUUUGGUCUAUUUUUAGUUGCAGUAUUUCCCAUUGGGUUUAUUGCAUGUGGAAACAACAUAUGGAAGGGGCAUCAAUAAAUACUUGUACAAGCCUUGUUUCUGUUUUCUUUCUUUAAACUUUAUCUAUUUUCAUCAACACUUUGGGAAAUACCAAGUAAACAAUUUAGCAUUAUAAGACAAUCUUGCAGAAUGUAUGCUGAGCUGCGUUGACAUAAGUUAACACAGAAAAUACCAACAAUAGAUAAGCCUAGGAAAUCAAUAAUUCUACCAAAGAAAUAGAGGAAGAGUGACAUUGCUAGUAAACACUCACUUAGUAAAAGUAUGUAUAUACAUGCCACACAAUAUUGAUUGUACCUUAUUCUCUGAAUGUCUUACUAUUAACGAAUUAGACACUUGUAAGAAAAUCAUUAGUCUACCAAGUGGUUUUGUUAAUAAAUGUUUUUCAGUCAUUUGCAAA
Long non-coding RNA from Tyto alba (common barn owl), 7792 nucleotides. RefSeq lists it as uncharacterized. The transcript has 2 exons. NCBI's taxonomy places the organism in Eukaryota, Metazoa, Chordata, Aves, Strigiformes, Tytonidae. The record is from RefSeq and is a predicted model, not a curated record.